UACGGGGGGGGCAAGCGUUGUUCGGAAUUACUGGGCGUAAAGGGCUCGUAGGUGGCCAACUAAGUCAGACGUGAAAUCCCUCGGCUUAACCGGGGAACUGCAUCUGAUACUGGAUGGCUUGAGAUUGGGAGAGGGAUGCGGAAUUCCAGGUGUAGCGGUGAAAUGCGCAGAUAUCAGGAGGAACACCGGUGGCGAAGGCGGAUCUCUGGGCCUUACCUGACGCUGAGGCGCGAAAGCUAGGGGAGCGAACAGG
This 253-nucleotide ribosomal RNA is filed under the name uncultured bacterium. RNAcentral's name for it is "partial 16S ribosomal RNA". It matches the Rfam family "Bacterial small subunit ribosomal RNA", at positions 524 to 776 of the family's 1533-position model. The record is from RNAcentral.